GACGAACGCUGGCGGCGUGCCUAAUACAUGCAAGUAGAACGCUGAAGGAGGAGCUUGCUCUUCUGGAUGAGUUGCGAACGGGUGAGUAACGCGUAGGUAACCUGCCUGGUAGCGGGGGAUAACUAUUGGAAACGAUAGCUAAUACCGCAUAACAGUAGAUGUUGCAUGACAUUUGCUUAAAAGGUGCAAUUGCACCACUACCAGAUGGACCUGCGUUGUAUUAGCUAGUUGGUGGGGUAACGGCUCACCAAGGCGACGAUACAUAGCCGACCUGAGAGGGUGAUCGGCCACACUGGGACUGAGACACGGCCCAGACUCCUACGGGAGGCAGCAGUAGGGAAUCUUCGGCAAUGGACGGAAGUCUGACCGAGCAACGCCGCGUGAGUGAAGAAGGUUUUCGGAACGUAAAGCUCUGUUGUAAGAGAAGAACGAGUGUGAGAGUGGAAAGUUCACACUGUGACGGUAUCUUACCAGAAAGGGACGGCUAACUACGUG
This 495-nucleotide ribosomal RNA is filed under the name uncultured bacterium. Its description in RNAcentral is "partial 16S ribosomal RNA". It matches the Rfam family "Bacterial small subunit ribosomal RNA", at positions 28 to 507 of the family's 1533-position model. The record is from RNAcentral.